RNAcentral lists this ribosomal RNA (274 nucleotides) under uncultured bacterium. Its description in RNAcentral is "partial 16S ribosomal RNA". It matches the Rfam family "Bacterial small subunit ribosomal RNA", at positions 523 to 796 of the family's 1533-position model. The record is from RNAcentral.
AUACAGAGGGUGCAAGUGUUAUUCGGAAUUACUGGGCGUAAAGCGCGCGUAGGCGGAUGAUUAAGUCAGUUGUGAAAGCCCUGGGCUCAACCUAGGAACUGCAUCUGAUACUGGUCGUCUAGAGUUUAAGAGAGGGAAGUGGAAUUCCAGGUGUAGCAGUGAAAUGCGUAGAUAUCUAGAGGAACAUCAGUGGCGAAGGCGACUUCCUGGCUUAAAACUGACGCUGAGGUGCGAAAGCGUGGGUAGCGAACGGGAUUAGAAACCCCUGUAGUCC